This 354-nucleotide ribosomal RNA is filed under the name uncultured bacterium. RNAcentral's name for it is "bacterial SSU rRNA". It matches the Rfam family "Bacterial small subunit ribosomal RNA", at positions 30 to 387 of the family's 1533-position model. The record is from RNAcentral.
AUUGAACGCUGGCGGAAUGCUUUACACAUGCAAGUCGAACGGCAGCACGGGGCAACCUGGUGGCGAGUGGCGAACGGGUGAGUAAUACAUCGGAACGUGCCCAAUCUGGGGGAUAACGUAGCGAAAGUUACGCUAAUACCGCAUACGAUCUACGGAUGAAAGCGGGGGAUCGCAAGACCUCGCGCGAAUGGAGCGGCCGAUGUCAGAUUAGGUAGUUGGGUGGGGUAAAAGGCUCACCAAGCCGACGAUCUGUAGCUGGUCUGAGAGGACGACCAGCCACACUGGGACUGAGACACGGCCCAGACUCCUACGGAGGCAGCAGUGGGAAUUUUGGACAAUGGGCGCAAGCCUGAU